RNAcentral lists this transfer RNA (108 nucleotides) under Blumeria hordei DH14. RNAcentral's name for it is "Blumeria graminis f. sp. hordei DH14 tRNA". It matches the Rfam family "tRNA". Rfam says of the family: Transfer RNA (tRNA) molecules are approximately 80 nucleotides in length. Their secondary structure includes four short double-helical elements and three loops (D, anti-codon, and T loops). Lineage: Eukaryota; Fungi; Ascomycota; Leotiomycetes; Helotiales; Erysiphaceae. The record is from Rfam by way of RNAcentral.
GUCUUCGUGGCUCAGUUGGUUAGAGCGUUGGUCUCAUAUCGCGUUCGAUUGUGAAGGUGUUACUCAUCUGAUAUCCAAAGGUCGCGAGUUUGAGUCUCGCUGAGGACA